UUAAGUUAGAAAGGGCGCACGGUGAAUGCCUUGGCACUAGGAGCCGAUGAAGGACGGGACUAACACCGAUAUGCUUCGGGGAGCUGUAAGUGAGCUUUGAUCCGGAGAUUUCCGAAUGGGGAAACCCACUGUUCGUAAUGGAACAGUAUCUUUAUCUGAAUACAUAGGAUAUUGAAGGCAGACCCGGGGAACUGAAACAUCUAAGUACCCGGAGGAAGAGAAAGCAAAUGCGAUUUCCUGAGUAGCGGCGAGCGAAACGGAAUUAGCCCAAACCAAGAGGCUUGCCUCUUGGGGUUGUAGGACACUCUAUACGGAGUUACAAAGGAACGAAGUAAAUGAAGCGACCUGGAAAGGUCCGUCGAAGAAGGUAACAACCCUGUAGUUGAAACUUCGUUCCCUCUUGAGUGGAUCCUGAGUACGGCGGAACACGUGAAAUUCCGUCGGAAGCUGGGAGGACCAUCUCCCAAGGCUAAAUACUACCUAGUGACCGAUAGUGAACCAGUACCGUGAGGGAAAGGUGAAAAGCACCCCGGAAGGGGAGUGAAAGAGAUCCUGAAACCGUGUGCCUACAAGUAGUCAGAGCCCGUUAACGGGUGAUGGCGUGCCUUUUGUAGAAUGAACCGGCGAGUUACGAUCCCAUGCAAGGUUAAGCUGAUAAGGCGGAGCCGUAGCGAAAGCAAGUCUGAAUAGGGCGUUUAGUAUGUGGUUGUAGACCCGAAACCAGGUGAUCUACCCAUGUCCAGGGUGAAGUUCAGGUAACACUGAAUGGAGGCCCGAACCCACGCACGUUGAAAAGUGCGGGGAUGAGGUGUGGGUAGCGGAGAAAUUCCAAUCGAACCUGGAGAUAGCUGGUUCUCUCCGAAAUAGCUUUAGGGCUAGCCUCAUGUUGUGAGAGUCUUGGAGGUAGAGCACUGAUUGGACUAGGGGCCCCCAACGGGUUACCGAAUUCAGUCAAACUCCGAAUGCCAAAGACUUAUCCAUGGGAGUCAGACUGCGAGUGAUAAGAUCCGUAGUCAAAAGGGAAACAGCCCAGACCACCAGCUAAGGUCCCCAAGUAUACGUUAAGUGGAAAAGGAUGUGGAGUUGCUUAGACAACCAGGAUGUUGGCUUAGAAGCAGCCACCAUUUAAAGAGUGCGUAAUAGCUCACUGGUCGAGUGACUCUGCGCCGAAAAUGUACCGGGGCUAAACGUAUCACCGAAGCUGUGGAUUGACAUCUUUGAUGUCAGUGGUAGGAGAGCGUUCUAAGUGCUGUGAAGUCAGACCGUAAGGACUGGUGGAGCGCUUAGAAGUGAGAAUGCCGGUAUGAGUAGCGAAAGACAAGUGAGAAUCUUGUCCACCGAAUGCCUAAGGUUUCCUGAGGAAGGCUCGUCCGCUCAGGGUUAGUCGGGACCUAAGCCGAGGCUGAAAAGCGUAGGCGAUGGCCAACAGGUUGAUAUUCCUGUACCACCUCCCCGCCGUUUGAGUAAUGGGGGGACGCAGUAGGAUAGGGUAAGCGCGCUGCUGGAUAUGCGCGUUCAAGCAGUUAGGCUGAUGAGUAGGCAAAUCCGCUCAUCAUGAAGGCUGAGCUGUGAUGACGAGGGAAUUAUAGUACCGAAGUUCCUGAUUCCACACUGCCAAGAAAAGCCUCUAGCGAGGCGGGAGGUGCCCGUACCGCAAACCGACACAGGUAGGCGAGGAGAGAAUCCUAAGGUGAUCGAGAGAACUCUCGUUAAGGAACUCGGCAAAAUGACCCCGUAACUUCGGGAGAAGGGGUGCUCUGGUAGGGUGUAUAGCCCGAGAGAGCCGCAGUGAAUAGGCCCAGGCGACUGUUUAGCAAAAACACAGGUCUCUGCGAAGCCGCAAGGCGAAGUAUAGGGGCUGACGCCUGCCCGGUGCUGGAAGGUUAAGAGGAGGGGUUAUCCUUUGGGAGAAGCUCUGAAUCGAAGCCCCAGUAAACGGCGGCCGUAACUAUAACGGUCCUAAGGUAGCGAAAUUCCUUGUCGGGUAAGUUCCGACCCGCACGAAAGGCGUAACGAUCUGGGCACUGUCUCAACGAGAGACUCGGUGAAAUUAUAGUACCUGUGAAGAUGCAGGUUACCCGCGACAGGACGGAAAGACCCCGUGGAGCUUUACUGUAGCCUGAUAUUGAAUUUUGGUACAGCUUGUACAGGAUAGGUAGGAGCCUGAGAAGCCGGAGCGCUAGCUUCGGUGGAGGCGUCGGUGGGAUACUACCCUGGCUGUAUUGAAAUUCUAACCCGCGGCCCUGAUCGGGCCGGGAGACAGUGUCAGGUGGGCAGUUUGACUGGGGCGGUCGCCUCCUAAAAUGUAACGGAGGCGCCCAAAGGUUCCCUCAGAAUGGUUGGAAAUCAUUCGUAGAGUGUAAAGGCACAAGGGAGCUUGACUGCGAGACCUACAAGUCGAGCAGGGACGAAAGUCGGGCUUAGUGAUCCGGUGGUUCCGCAUGGAAGGGCCAUCGCUCAACGGAUAAAAGCUACCCCGGGGAUAACAGGCUUAUCUCCCCCAAGAGUCCACAUCGACGGGGAGGUUUGGCACCUCGAUGUCGGCUCAUCGCAUCCUGGGGCUGUAGUCGGUCCCAAGGGUUGGGCUGUUCGCCCAUUAAAGCGGUACGCGAGCUGGGUUCAGAACGUCGUGAGACAGUUCGGUCCCUAUCCGUCGUGGGCGUAGGAAAUUUGAGAGGAGCUGUCCUUAGUACGAGAGGACCGGGAUGGACACACCGCUGGUGUACCAGUUGUCUUGCCAAAGGCAUCGCUGGGUAGCUAUGUGUGGACGGGAUAAGUGCUGAAAGCAUCUAAGCAUGAAGCCCCCCUCAAGAUGAGAUUUCCCAUAGCGCAAGCUAGUAAGAUCCCUGAAAGAUGAUCAGGUUGAUAGGUCAGAGGUGGAAGCGUGGCGACAUGUGUAGCUGACUGAUACUAAUCGAUCGAGGACUUAACCAA
Molecule: ribosomal RNA, 2934 nt
Filed under: Priestia megaterium
Lineage: Bacteria; Bacillati; Bacillota; Bacilli; Caryophanales; Bacillaceae
Also listed under: 1 other name
Description: bacterial LSU rRNA
Rfam family: Bacterial large subunit ribosomal RNA
Source: RNAcentral